RNAcentral lists this ribosomal RNA (482 nucleotides) under uncultured bacterium. RNAcentral describes it as "partial 16S ribosomal RNA". It matches the Rfam family "Bacterial small subunit ribosomal RNA", at positions 29 to 507 of the family's 1533-position model. The record is from RNAcentral.
AUUGAACGCUGGCGGCAUGCCUUACACAUGCAAGUCGAACGGUAACGGGCCUCUGGGUGCCGACGCGUGGCGAACGGGCGAGUAAGAAACCGGAACGUGCCCGACCGUGGGGGAUAAGGAGGCGAAAGCUUAGCGAAUAUCGCACACGAUCGACGGAUGAAAGGAGGGGAGGGGAAGGGAUUGCGCGGGCGGAGGGGGCGAGGGCGGAGUAGAUAGAUGGUGGGGGAAAAGCUUAGCAAGACGACGAUCUGUAGCUGAUCUGAGAGUGUGAUGAGCCACACUGGAACUGAGACACGGCCAAGACUCCUAAGGGACGCAGCAGUCGGGAAUUUUAGACAGUGGGCGCAAGCCUGAUCCAGCCAUGCCGAGUGUAGGAUGAAGGCCUUCGGGUUGUAAACUGCUUUUGUGCGGAACGAACAGCCUUCUUUUGAUACAAGGGGGUCGUGACGGUACCGUAAGAAUAAGCACCGGCUAACUACGUG